This 3102-nucleotide long non-coding RNA is filed under the name Canis lupus familiaris (dog). Its description in RNAcentral is "lncRNA (ENSCAFG00845010036.1)". The record is from RNAcentral. Lineage: Eukaryota; Metazoa; Chordata; Mammalia; Carnivora; Canidae.
UUUUUUUUUUUUUUUUUUUCCCAGAACUUCUUCUAGGACAAAGGCUUCGUUUGUUUUUUAAAUCAUUAUCAAUUUGAUAGAUAAUAUGAGGCUCUUAUUAUAGGUUUAAUUUUUACUUUUUGAGUAUCAGUGAGGUUGUACGUGUUUCUACAUGCUUAUUUAUUUGUAUAUUUUUAGAAAAUUGCUUCUUCAUUUCUUCUGCCCAUUUUUAAAUGGGAAAUUUGUAUUUUUCUUAUUUGUAAGACACUUUUAUAUUAUACUCUGUUAUAUUAUACUGUAUUAUAUUAUAUUAUUAUAUCAUGGAUCUUAACUUCUUUAUGCAUAUUUUAGGUUUUCCACAAUUUGCCAUUUGCUUUUCAAUUUUGUGCAUAGUAUCUUUUUAUUCUUUUGAUUUAUGGAAGUUGUAAAUAUUUAUGUAGUCAAAUCCAUCAUUAUUUUCAUUGUGGCUCCUUUCUCUACUUUGAUACACAGAAUGUCUUUCUACCUACAAAUAUGAGGAAAAUAUUAAGCUUAUGGUGCUCUUAUAAUUUAUUUAUUUUGUGUUUAACUCUGUACUCUAUCUGGCAUUCACACAAAAUAUUGUUUCAGGUAGGAGUGGACCUCUUUUUCCACUAAAAUUAACACCUUAUUCCUACUUAUUGAAUACAUCUCUAUUUUUGCACUAGUUUUUAAGCCCAUACGAUCAUAGCCUAUUUUCUUUUGUGUAAUAGAUCCUUUUAGGAACUUUCUGUUUCUAGACUCAUUUUCAGGUCUUACUGAUUUUGUGUGCUUGAAUAGGUCAGUUUACUUCUUGAUGUCUGAUUCUAUCACCUACAAAACAGAGUUGGAUCUAUCUACUUGCAGAUCAUUUUAAAGAUUAGGGAUGAUUCAAAUGAAGUGCUUAUCAUAGCACAUGUAAAGUUAGAAGCAUUCAAAACAGAAGUUACUAUAUAUUGUCUUAUUUAUUCAUAGUUUUUAUUGAUUUGUAUCUCAUCAAUUGUGCCAGUAUUACAAUGACAAACACAUUUUGAAAUUUACCAGAUGCUCUGACACAUCAGCCAUGGGAAAACUCUGACGUGUUGACUUACCAAAUAAGACUAACUAUGAACACCCCCCUCACUCAACUGUCAUAAAUCUAACAAAUAUUUCAGAACCUACAAUGUAUAAGACACUGUAUUACGCACAGUAGGGGAUAUAAAGAUAAAUGAGAAAUAGAGGUGCUAGUCAGCAUUUUUCUAACCCAUGCCUCUUCUGUUAGUGCACAAUGUAAAUGCAAUAUUUAUUUAUUCAACUAAAUAUUUAUUAGCCUCUUCUAUGUUUGGAUACAGUGUUAGGGGCUGAAUAGAAGCAUGGGAAAUUUUGUCCAAUAUGUCCCACUCAUAUCUGAUGCUGUACAUAUCAGAUAUGAACCAAUAUUGGGGAAUUCACUGAGAUAAUUUCCCUUCCAUAUUCAACUUAAAAACCUUCAUAAAGUCUCCCCUGAUUUCCCUACUAAAAGCCAUUAUUGUUUACUCCGAAUCCUCUCACCAUUUCUCUUCAUUCCUCUUUUAUAGUAGCUCAUGUGGCACAUUCCUCUGGCCUUCCAGAGCAUUUGUACAAAAUUUGAUGAUGGCAUUUUUGUUUGGAUAUUCUGUUUAUCUGUAUGCUUGUCUGUCAUUUUAGACUCCCUUUAGACUCUAUCCUCCUCAAGGUCAGGGCUGUAUCUUUUUCACCUUUGCAUCUCUGGCAAACCAUUACCAUUCAAUAGUAAGCACCUACAAUGACACUCAGUUUCUUUCCUCAUUUAGGACAUGUUAGUUGAAUGAUCUUAUACUGAAUGUCAUCUUACAGCUACAUGUGUAUUUAUCUGUGCAAUGUGCUCCAGGUUAGGGGAUAUGUUUCAUCCGUUUUUGCAUAUCCAACUGGGCCAUGUUGGUCCUCAUGUAGAGAAGUACGAAUAUCACAGUUUAUUUUUAGACUAUCUACUCUGAAAUAUGAAUAUUGGGAGGAGAAUAGGACACACUUACCAUAAUUAGUAUUAAAAACUUAUAAAAAUCCCAAAUAGUCUCAAUGUCAAAAUUUUGAAUUGUAGCAAUCUUCCUUAAAUCCUGAGACUUGAAAUUUUAUUUUACUCCUAUGAUUUUUAUUAUCUCUAUUACUUACUAGAGACUUCUUUUAUCAUUUCACAUGUUACUUAAAUUCAAUAUUACUCUUGAACUUUUAAAAUUUUCAGUUCUUAUCCCCCAUCUUUAAUUGUAAUAUAAAUUCCUUAUGGACAAAGACAAUUUCUUCUUUUGUUUAUAUGUCACACAGCACCUAGCACAGUUUCUUAAUCUUGGUAGGUCAUCAAAAAUCUUACUUACUGAUUCAAGUAAUCAGCAUUUACUCAAUAAUAUAUGUAACAGAUUACCAAAGUGAAUACAAUUUAUCCAUCCAGGUGUUUCAGAAUCAAUUUUCUUUUCAGAACCCCAAUACACUGAUUUAUUUAUUCAAUAAGUAAUUUUGAGCAUGGGCAAGAUACUGUGCCACGUAAUGGAUAUUAAAAAUGAACAUCUAUUGAGCCCCUCAUAUGUGCUCAAUAUUGGGCUCUUCACAUGGUCUUAUCAUUAUAAUUCUACGAAGUAAAUAUUAUCAUGGUUCCCAUUUCAUGAGUAAAAACAAGACAACAAACAAAAAGCUGCUAAAUUUAAACAGGCAGUGAAUACAUGAGCAAAGAUAUGAUCCCAAUCUAUUCAAAAGCCAAGUUUAGUACCUUAACCAGUACACAUACUGCCUGUAGAAAUAAGUAUACAUGCAAGGUUUUACCACCGAAGAGAUAAAUAGUUUAUCAGAUGAAAUUGAUCAGAUGAAACUUUAUAAGUAGUUCUCUCCUUUUAAGCUUAAAAUUUCACAAAGAAUAUUUUGAAUUUCAAUAUUAACAAAUUAUUGCACUAAGUUUUGAUACAGUUUUGAUAAGUUUUUAAUAUAUCCGUUUCAAAGACAUUCCCUGGAUUUAAAGUCAAUACGAUAAGAAAAAUGCAGUUUUUUUGUAAAUGAUUACACUGUAGAGUUGUUAAUACAAACAUGUAGAGGUUGAAAUAGAGAGUAAUAAUCAGGAUGCAGCUUCCACUGAAAACAAAAAAAACUACAUUUCAAAUGUACAGU